CAAAACAAUUUUUUGUGUGUGAGACAUAUCAUUUUGUGUGCAAAACAGGUUUUAUUUGUGUGCAACACAUUUUUUUGCUUACAACGUUUUGGCAGGAAAUUAUCUCCAUAUGAAUGUCUUUGGAGACGUGUGGUGCGCAGGAACUAACAUACACAACAAUGUGCUGCACUCAGGAGAGGACAACAAUUUGCUUGACCUGUCAAACAUGUUAGAUAACUUCUGUUGUCACUAUUUAUUUGUCCCAAGACUACAACUAAGUUUUCACACCAUCAGCAGUGGCUGGGAUGACAAUUCACUCAGAACUGAAGGGAAUCUAACACUCAGUCAGUUAUGGGAGAUGGGAAGCAUCCAGCAUGCUGUUGUAGAACCAGAAAUCACAGAGGGACUCUGCCUGCCUCAUAUUGACUGGGACGACAGUGGACUGCUUGAUGACCCACACUGUGGGGUCACUAUUCCUGAAACUGGCAAUGUGUUGAGCCCCGAACAACUGGUAGCACUGAGGGCAGCCAUGGAUGCACUGGGACAUUCUGAAUCGCACGGCUCAGAUAUAUAUAUAUAUAUAUAUAUAUAUAUAUAUAUAUAUAUAUAUAUAUAUAUAUAUAUAUAUAUAUAUAUAUAUAUAUAUAUAUAUGUUGCUACUGUCCAGUAUGACCAACACUUUACGGGUUUAAUCUUAUUGUGGUUACCAUUGUUACAAAAGGUUUUUAAGUAG
This is a long non-coding RNA of Fundulus heteroclitus (mummichog), 712 nucleotides long. RefSeq lists it as uncharacterized. The transcript is spliced from 3 exons. The record is from RefSeq and is a predicted model, not a curated record. Lineage: Eukaryota; Metazoa; Chordata; Actinopteri; Cyprinodontiformes; Fundulidae.